Molecule: ribosomal RNA, 226 nt
Filed under: uncultured bacterium
Lineage: Bacteria
Description: partial 16S ribosomal RNA
Rfam family: Bacterial small subunit ribosomal RNA
Source: RNAcentral
UACGUAGGGGGGCAAGCGUUGUCCGGAUUUAUUGGGCGUAAAGAGCGUGUAGGCGGUCUGGUAGGUCCGUUGUGAAAACUCGAGGCUCAACCUCGAGACGCCGAUGGAAACCAUCAGACUAGAGUCCGGAAGAGGAGAGUGGAAUUCCUGGUGUAGCGGUGAAAUGCGCAGAUAUCAGGGAAGAACACCCGUGGCUAAGGCGGCUCCUCUAGUAAGCGGGUACUGG